CCUACGGGGGGCAGCAGUGAGGAAUAUUGGUCAAUGGGCGCGAGCCUGAACCAGCCAAGUCGCGUGAGGGAAGACGGUCCUAUGGAUUGUAAACCUCUUUUGUCGGGGAGCAAAAGACGCCACGCGUGGCGUUCCGAGAGUACCCGAAGAAAAAGCAUCGGCUAACUCCGUGCCAGCAGCCGCGGUAAUACGGAGGAUGCGAGCGUUAUCCGGAUUUAUUGGGUUUAAAGGGUGCGCAGGCGGAAGAUCAAGUCAGAUGUGAAAACUCAGGGCUCAACCCUGAGCCUGCAUUUGAAACUGUGUUUAUUGAGUGCUGGAGAGGCAAUCGGAAUUCCGGGU
Molecule: ribosomal RNA, 339 nt
Filed under: uncultured bacterium
Lineage: Bacteria
Description: partial 16S ribosomal RNA
Rfam family: Bacterial small subunit ribosomal RNA
Source: RNAcentral